This 256-nucleotide small RNA is filed under the name Vigna angularis var. angularis. Its description in RNAcentral is "Non-protein coding transcript". Lineage: Eukaryota; Viridiplantae; Streptophyta; Magnoliopsida; Fabales; Fabaceae. The record is from RNAcentral.
CUCUCAUCACUUUCCCUUUUUCUUCUUUCAUUUCUCUGAAAACCCUAAGGUCAUAGAAGGAUGUGGGCUUGAGGGAAAAUGAGUUGUAGGAGGAAACUUAUUCCUCUUUGCAAUGCAAUUGUCUCCGUUCGGGGGUGCGACGACAACAGCGUUCUCUUCACGACAGCGGAGUUGCGACUUCUUCACGGGUUUCAAAGAGGGUUUCCUUCCACGUCUCGUGAUCUUGAGUGUUGCCGUGAAGAAGAAGAGUUUUAGG